UAUUAGGUUGGUACAAAAGCAAUUGCAGUUUUUGCUAUUAAAAGUAAUACCAAAAACUGCAAUUGCUUUUGCACCAGCCUAAUA
Molecule: microRNA precursor, 84 nt
Organism: Pan troglodytes (chimpanzee)
Lineage: Eukaryota; Metazoa; Chordata; Mammalia; Primates; Hominidae
Rfam family: mir-548 microRNA precursor family
Source: Rfam